This 4045-nucleotide long non-coding RNA is filed under the name Olea europaea subsp. europaea. The record is from RNAcentral. Lineage: Eukaryota; Viridiplantae; Streptophyta; Magnoliopsida; Lamiales; Oleaceae.
ACUUUUAUAAGAAGGCAAAAUUGCAAGCAAAAAGGUAAGAGCAUUUUUCUUUCAAACGCAAACAAAUAAAUCAGAUAAGAAUUUGGAUUGUCUGGUAAAAUAUAUUAAGAAAAAGAAACUGUUAGUUUUCAGCACGUGACCGUGACAACGGAAGAAGACAUUGAGAGUACACUCUUCUCAUUAUACAAGGUGUGGAACGCCAUUCUUUGCCUCUUCACUCUGUCUAUUUCAUUGCCAAAAACUCUGUAUUGAGGAACAAAGGAAAAAAGGAGUUUUUUUUCAAGAAGAAGAAGAGAAUGAGAGAGUAUGGCAGUAAGUAUUCUCUCACCAGUGCUUUUAUAAUGCUGAUUCUUUUACACAAUGUAAAUGGCGAAGACCCUUAUCGAUUUUACACUUGGAAAAUCACUUAUGGUGACAUUUAUCCUCUGGGUGUCAAACAAAAGGUACUAAUGCCCUUCACAAUGUACUGUGUGUUGUUUCUUGGAUUUUCUUGAAUAUACUGUUGUUCCUGAAGAUAAAAAAUGGUGGUGCAGGGAAUUUUGAUAAAUGGGCAGUUUCCAGGGCCACAGAUUGACUGUGUCACCAAUGAUAACUUGAUUAUCAGUGUUUACAACUACUUGAAUGAGCCCUUUCUCCUUUCUUGGUAAAGCAUUGCUCUCCCCACCCCCACCCUCCGGCUGCGUUCUAUCUAGUUAAAGAACAUUUUGUAUUAACUGUAAAAUGUGGCAGAUCUAUUCAAUUCCCAUUAUGUUUUUGUAAUGGCAAUGGAGUUGAGUUGGGGUAUUUAGAUUUGAGAUUUAGCUUGGAAUAUCAAUGUCAUUUGACAGAGAAAAAGGGUUCUUCUGGUAUGAAUUUUUUCUGAAGAAUAUUAGUAAGAGAUGCAGCUUGUGCCAUUUUGAGCCUCAAGGGAUUUGGUUGAAGCAACUUUUCUUCUAAAGAGCAUGUUUGGCCAAGCCUAAAAUAAGUAAUUUUACUUUUUAAGAAAAAUUGAACUUUUGAAGAAGUUACUGUUGUCAAAAUGAGUACUUUUACUCUCUUGGGCUUAGCCAAACAUGCUUUCUGUCGGCCCUAAUGUUAGGGCACAAACAUAAGGUUUAAGGAUUAUCACUGUGCUGUAUGCACAUGCUAGAUCUCUGACAUCCACCACAUAAUGGGUUUUUAUAUUUGUCAUUAAGCUUAUAUGUAAAUUAAUCCAUGUGAGACACGUGAAGUAGCAUGCUAAUGUAGGGCCAUAUAUAGCUAUGUAUCAUUUAUUAGUUCAACAUCAAGUUGCAUUGUUUAGGAAUAUAAUAAAUAAAACAAACUUUUUCUUUUAACGAGGUGAAAUUCAUAGUCAUUGAGUUUCAAUAUGCAAGACAUCAAUUACAGUUCAGUGUUUAUGGUGCCAUCACACUGGAGAAUUCAUAGUUUUCUUGGCUUAGAAAGACAAAUAAAAUACAUUUUAACUUAUAUUUUUCUCCAGUUGAAAGUGCCAGAAAGAGUUGUGCUCGCACACCAUAAGUUAUUCCUCUGUGAACUUGAGCUUGAUUCUUAAUGUAGUUGUGAGGAUGCAAUUGCAAAUUAGAGUACAUUGUUGUGUUACAAAUCCUGCAUAAACAACUAGAUUAAAAUCUGUGGAGCAAAGAGCAUGGAAGGAUGUUAUAAUCAAUGUUUGAAUCACGUUGAGGCCUCUGGCUAUAUAUAGUUGAUUUUCAAAUCACCAUUGUUUUUUAGGAAUGGCUUACAGCAAAGGAGGAACUCAUGGCAGGAUGGAGUUUAUGGUACUACCUGUCCGAUUCCACGGAGGAAAAACUUCACUUACGUCCUUCAAGCGAAGGACCAGAUAGGCACCUAUUUCUACUUUCCAUCACUUGCACUCCAUAAGGCUGCAGGAGGAUAUGGUAGCAUCAAAAUUUCCAGCCGUCCUCGAAUUCCAGUGCCUUUCCCUCCUCCUGGGGGGGAUUAUGCCAUCCUUGCUGGGGAUUGGUACAAGAGAAGUCAAAGGGUUAGCAUAUUGUCGAAAAUUAAGUGCAUGUUUGGUAUAUGAUAUUGAGUAGGAUAGAGAGUAUGAUAAACAAGAUUUUAGCUUAAUUUUUCUCACCAAAUGUUCCCUAAAGAUUUCACAGCAAUUUGAUCUCAUAAACGUGUCAUCUAAUUUGCUGUCUGCUGCUUUUGUUAUUACAGCAACUGAAGUAUUUCUUGGAUACCGGUCACAAUCUUCCCUUCCCCGAUGGCCUUCUGAUCAAUGGUCGAGGGUGGAAUGGAUACACAUUUACAGUUGAUCAAGGUAACACGAAUUUCUUAAUCAAGUAAUCUGGUUAGAAUUUUUAUUAUUAUAAGCUUGUGUUUCUUGCCUGCUUUCCUUUCCUCAUCCACACAAUAUCUUUCUGCAGGCAAAACCUACAGGUUCAGGAUAUCGAAUGUCGGACUUACAACUUCCAUUAACUUGAGAAUCCAGGGACACUCAAUGAAACUAGUUGAGGUAGAAGGAUCUCACACGCUUCAGAAUAUGUACUCUUCCCUCGACAUCCAUUUAGGGCAGUCUUAUUCAGUCUUGGUCACAGCCAACCAGCCAGCAAAGGACUAUUACAUUGUAGUUUCCUCGCGCUUCACCUCUAAAGUGCUCACCACUACUGCCGUUCUCCAUUACAGCAACUCAUUUACCAAAGUUUCCGGUCCUCCCCCUGGUGGACCAACAACUGAGAUUGCUUCGUCUUUGAACCAGGCCAGAUCAAUACGGUAAUUCAAAUAGCCUGUAAAUUCUUUUAGUUGAUACUAAUAAAGCAGGGAUCAUUUCUAAUUUUACUUAAUUUGUUGACUCUGAAAUCAGUUGGAAUCUGACAGCCAGUGGACCUAGACCUAAUCCUCAAGGCUCAUACCACUAUGGAAUGAUCAAGCCCUCUAGGACCAUUAUUCUUGCUAACUCUGCUCCAUAUAUAAAUGGCAAACUAAGAUAUGCUGUCAACGGUGUAUCAUAUGUUUCCCCAGACACUCCCUUAAAGUUGGCCGACUACUUUAAGAUUGGAGGAGUUUUCAGCAUUGGAAGCAUCCCUGACAGACCUCCAUGGGGAAAUGGAGGAUAUCUUGCAACCUCUCUUAUGCAUGCUGAUUACCGAUCUUUUGCUGAGAUUGUGUUCCAAAAUUGGGAGGAUACUGUCCAGUCUUGGCACAUUGAUGGAUAUUCUUUCUUCGUUGUUGGGUAAGUAAAUUUGUGAUUUUGAAGAACGAGGUAUUCACUCAUUCUUUCUUGAUGAUUUAUUAGUUUGCUGAUACUGUGAAUGAACAGAAUGGAUGGUGGACAGUGGACUCCUGCGAGUAGGUCAAGAUACAAUUUGAGAGACACAGUUGCCCGUUGUACGACUCAGGUAUACAUUAAGACAAGACUUGUUUAAAAACAACAAAGCAAAUCUUGGUUCUUUCAGUUUUCUUUUACUAAGAAUUUUGUUCUAAUCACAGGUGUAUCCAAAAUCUUGGACUGCAAUAUACAUAGCUUUGGACAAUGUGGGAAUGUGGAACAUAAGGUCUGAGAACUGGGCAAGGCAGUACUUGGGUCAGCAAUUCUACUUAAGGGUUUACACCCCGUCGACUUCAUGGAGGGACGAAUAUCCUAUUCCGAGGAAUGCUCUUCUUUGUGGCCGAGCAAGAGGGCACCACACUCGACCCCUCUGAUGGCCUAAAAUCUGUCACGAGAGGGUGACCGAAUUCACAGGAAGGGAAAUGCACAACCAUAACUUAAGCAGCUCAACUCGAGCUAUGAGUUAUAUUGAUUUAUUAGAGUAUUCAUCACUUGCAUCAAUUUUCUGAAUUGAUUUUGUCUGAAUUAUUGGAAUAAUUUUAUGAUUAAUUUCUCCUAUUAGUCCUGGUGUUAAAAGGCCAAUACACGGACCAAAUUGUUCUAUCUAGUUACCAUGGAAAAAAAAAACAGUAAUUUUAUCACUCCUGCGUUCCUUAUGCAUCUUUUUACUGACUUACAAGAAUUAUUAGUAAUUACUGUGGGGUAAUUUUAUUAACUUCAGUUUUGUAUAAAUACAAUAUAUUUUAAUUGCAUUAAAAGACUAUAACCUUU